Molecule: ribosomal RNA, 152 nt
Filed under: Hebeloma hiemale
Lineage: Eukaryota; Fungi; Basidiomycota; Agaricomycetes; Agaricales; Hymenogastraceae
Description: partial small subunit ribosomal RNA
Source: RNAcentral
AGUCGAAACUAAUUAUACAUAAAAAAAGCAGUUAAAUACCUAAUCAAAUUAUAAACAAAUUAUAAGUUAAAGAAUAACUACACUUACUAUUCAAAUAAAUGAAUAAUCAAUAUUUUAUUAUUUAUAAUGUUUUACUUUAUUUAAAAUUAUAC